RNAcentral lists this long non-coding RNA (237 nucleotides) under Lathyrus oleraceus (garden pea). RNAcentral's name for it is "Pisum sativum (pea) long non-coding RNA (PSAT_LNC025334)". Lineage: Eukaryota; Viridiplantae; Streptophyta; Magnoliopsida; Fabales; Fabaceae. The record is from RNAcentral.
AAAGAAGAGGAAUAAAGUGACCUCUCUCAACACUCAGCAACACACUCUCUCCCAAAAAAGAAAAGAAAAGGAAAAAACGAAAUAAAGAGAAGGAAUGUGAGAGAAACCCCUUCUCCAUCACCUUCACAACACUCAUAACCGUGUCUAUUUACCUUUUUAAUUCACCAUACCAAUCCCUCAAUCCUCACCGCCGUUCACCCCAAACUUUGUCCAUACAACCUCCGUCGCGGGUUCGUC